RNAcentral lists this long non-coding RNA (761 nucleotides) under Cricetulus griseus (Chinese hamster). RNAcentral's name for it is "lncRNA (ENSCGRG00015042966.1)". The record is from RNAcentral. Lineage: Eukaryota; Metazoa; Chordata; Mammalia; Rodentia; Cricetidae.
CAGAAAGACCUCAACUACAGAUGUAGAACUCGUUGGGAACAGGUUUAAGGUCAGCUGUUUCUGUGGGUUUCCCCAGCAUGGUCUUGACCCCUUUUCAAAUCACUCCUCCCUCUCUACAACUGGAUUCCAGGAGUUCAGCUCAGUGCUUAGCUAUGGAUGUCUGCUUCUGCUUCCAUCAGCUACUGGAUGAAGGCUCUACAAUGGCAUUUAAGGAAGGAGACCUGCACAUGUCAUUCACUAAGGAGAAAGAGCAGAGAAAGUCCAAUCCGGGAGAAACUGAUGAUGGGCGGAGCUCGGUGUCAGGGCAAGUAUAAAGCCCUGGGUUCAAAUCCCAAACUUCAAAACAAAGCUUAAAAAUCACCCAGGCAGACAGUGAGAUCCUGUCUCAGAACAAACAAAAAGAAAGAAGUCACCAGCAGCAAACAACGGGAUUUGGAAUUGACUGACCUAAUGACUGUAAUUUAGGGUGAAGUAGACCUCAUUCAUGUUCCUAUCUCAGGACUUAUUUGCUGUACAUACCAGGCCUAUUCUACUUGGACUCAGAACGGGAUUUUUAAAAAAAACAUCCAAAGAUGGAGCAAUGGCUCACCCAUUAAGAGAAUGUGCUGCUCUUGCAGAGUUCAGUCCCAGCACCCACAUCAGGCAACUCACAACUGCCUAUAACCCCAGCUUCAGGCCUCCAUGGAUACCUCAUUCAGAGGUAAAUACUCAAACACAUACACAUAAUUAAAAAUAAUAAAAACCAUUUUAUUGUUUUUUUU